UUGAAGCCAAAGCAGAACUUCGUGUACAUUAAAAACAGAGAGAGCCAGAGAUACAAUCAUCCCACAAAAGAGGGACAGCAAAGGGCCAGAAACUGCAGAGGUGUUCUGGGAGCUGUGGAUAGUUCCACUGUAGGCUCUGGACCACAGGUGCAAGGAAGCAGGAUCCUAACACAACACCCACAAAACGGCUGGUGAUGGUCUCCAACAUUCAGAGAGUCUUUGAAUUUUACUAGACACAGUGACUAAAAUGUGCUGCAUUCCAAAGUACUCAGUUUGAUAUUUUCUUUUGAAAAUUUUACUCUCAGCUUUUUCAGGCUCUAACUCCAUGCCCCUCAGCCAUUAGACAUACGAAUCACUCAAGGGUCAUAUUAACAGGAGGGGCUGAGAAUGGCAAUCUAGCCAAGUGCCAGUGUGAUGUCAGUGCUGUGAUGAUGGACCUUUAUCUGAGUAACAAGGAGCUGAUUAAAGUUAGUAUAACCAGGACCCUGUGUUGUUUAAGAAGGGUCUAUAGAGGGCCAGGGCGCACCUACAGAACAGGGCUUGCUCCUCCUAUCCAACACAGGAAAACCAAAGAACCAAACUCAAGACAACAUUCCACUAGGCAUGGUGGUACAUGCCUGUAAUUCCUGCACUCAAGAGGCUGAUACAGGAGGAUCAGUAUUGAGAUAAAGCUGAGGAACUUCAACUGAUUCAACAACCUCUCCUUUCAAGAGUGCUAAUAGCUGGGCAUGGGAGCCUAGUCCUAAUAUCUGGGAAGCCGAAGCAGGAGGACUACAAGAUUAAGCCCAGUCUGAGCAACUUAGCAAGACCCUAUC
Non-coding RNA from Heterocephalus glaber (naked mole-rat), 815 nucleotides. NCBI's taxonomy places the organism in Eukaryota, Metazoa, Chordata, Mammalia, Rodentia, Bathyergidae. The record is from RefSeq and is a predicted model, not a curated record.